UCAACUAUGUGAAAGAGAAUAACAAGAAAAAGAAUUUCGAUGCCAACUCUCCAAAGGGCAAGGGCAAAGGCCCCAUGCAGCAUCAACAAAAGAAAUUCACAGUGGAGAAAGAUCAGUGUCUUCAUUGCAAGAAGACGGGGCAUUACAAGAAAGACUGUCCCGAAUUCUUGAAAAUGAUAAUGGCAAAGAAAGGGAUUCCGUUCGACGAGGACUACGCAAAGAAGCGAAAGACACGUUAAAGUCGCAAAUGGAGUCCAAGCAGAUGUUGAAGCCGUUGGCGACCUUCCUCUGGAGCUUGCUGAUGGAUUCACAUUAAUUCUUAGAGAUGUGCUUUAUGUUCCCUCUUUACAGAGGAAUUUGAUUAGUGUUUCAUGUUUGGACAAUGAUGGAUAUGAUUGCCAUUUUGGAAAUGGCAAAUGUAAGAUAACAUUCAAUAAUGCAUGUGUUGGGAUUGCUAUCUUACAAAAUGA
Phragmites australis (common reed) is the source of this 470-nucleotide long non-coding RNA. RefSeq lists it as uncharacterized. NCBI's taxonomy places the organism in Eukaryota, Viridiplantae, Streptophyta, Magnoliopsida, Poales, Poaceae. The transcript is spliced from 2 exons. The record is from RefSeq and is a predicted model, not a curated record.